RNAcentral lists this ribosomal RNA (1113 nucleotides) under Staphylococcus pseudintermedius. Its description in RNAcentral is "bacterial SSU rRNA". It matches the Rfam family "Bacterial small subunit ribosomal RNA", at positions 1 to 1093 of the family's 1533-position model. Lineage: Bacteria; Bacillati; Bacillota; Bacilli; Caryophanales; Staphylococcaceae. The record is from RNAcentral.
UUUAUGGAGAGUUUGAUCCUGGCUCAGGAUGAACGCUGGCGGCGUGCCUAAUACAUGCAAGUCGAGCGAACAGAUAAGGAGCUUGCUCCUUUGACGUUAGCGGCGGACGGGUGAGUAACACGUGGGUAACCUACCUAUAAGACUGGAAUAACUCCGGGAAACCGGGGCUAAUGCCGGAUAACAUGUUGAACCGCAUGGUUCUACAGUGAAAGACGGUCUUGCUGUCACUUAUAGAUGGACCCGCGCCGUAUUAGCUAGUUGGUGGGGUAACGGCCUACCAAGGCGACGAUACGUAGCCGACCUGAGAGGGUGAUCGGCCACACUGGAACUGAGACACGGUCCAGACUCCUACGGGAGGCAGCAGUAGGGAAUCUUCCGCAAUGGGCGAAAGCCUGACGGAGCAACGCCGCGUGAGUGAUGAAGGUCUUCGGAUCGUAAAGCUCUGUUGUUAGGGAAGAACAAAUGUGUAAGUAACUGUGCACAUCUUGACGGUACCUAACCAGAAAGCCACGGCUAACUACGUGCCAGCAGCCGCGGUAAUACGUAGGUGGCAAGCGUUAUCCGGAAUUAUUGGGCGUAAAGCGCGCGUAGGCGGUUUUUUAAGUCUGAUGUGAAAGCCCACGGCUCAACCGUGGAGGGUCAUUGGAAACUGGAAAACUUGAGUGCAGAAGAGGAAAGUGGAAUUCCAUGUGUAGCGGUGAAAUGCGCAGAGAUAUGGAGGAACACCAGUGGCGAAGGCGGCUUUCUGGUCUGCAACUGACGCUGAUGUGCGAAAGCGUGGGGAUCAAACAGGAUUAGAUACCCUGGUAGUCCACGCCGUAAACGAUGAGUGCUAAGUGUUAGGGGGUUUCCGCCCCUUAGUGCUGCAGCUAACGCAUUAAGCACUCCGCCUGGGGAGUACGGUCGCAAGACUGAAACUCAAAGGAAUUGACGGGGACCCGCACAAGCGGUGGAGCAUGUGGUUUAAUUCGAAGCAACGCGAAGAACCUUACCAAAUCUUGACAUCCUUUGACCGCUCUAGAGAUAGAGUUUUCCUCUUCGGAGGACAAAGUGACAGGUGGUGCAUGGUUGUCGUCAGCUCGUGUCGUGAGAUGUUGGGUUAAGUCCCGCAAC